This is a long non-coding RNA of Episyrphus balteatus (marmalade hoverfly), 1828 nucleotides long. RefSeq lists it as uncharacterized. The record is from RefSeq and is a predicted model, not a curated record. The transcript has 3 exons. NCBI's taxonomy places the organism in Eukaryota, Metazoa, Arthropoda, Insecta, Diptera, Syrphidae.
AGAUCCGAAACAAAUACUUUCAAUGGUUAGAAGUUUCAAAUGCCAUAUCCUAGAAAAUAAAGAUACUCUACCUUCAUAAUGUUAUAUGCAAUGUUGAAAUAAGGUUGGGUUGAAAAGAUGUAAAAUUCUUAUUUGAAGAAUUUGAAUCUAGUUCGAGGAGUGUGAACUUCAAUUAUUCGUCUGUUUAUGUUAAGUUUAUCGAACAAAAAUUUGUGAACUAAAUUGAACUAAGUAGGUGAACUAAGUUCACUAGUUCAGCAAAGUGAACUAGUUCAUUGAACUAGUUCGUUCGCGAACUACACAAGCCUACUGCAUACCUAGUUCAAAAAAUGCAAUUUGGCGUAUACGGCACUCCAAUACUAGGGCGACGAUGUAUCAUAUUUGUAUAUAAUACCAUUUUCUAUUAUUGCUAGUUUUGAAAAUCUCCUUUCGCGCUUUGACCUUGAAAAUCGCGACUUGCGGACAUUAGAUUUUUCUAGACUUUUGAGCAUUCAUUCCGAGGUGAAACCUUUAUUUAACUGGAUUAAGUAGUCUAUAGCGGUUUUGAGGUACUCGAAUCAGGGGUGAGAUUCUGUAUGGCGAAAACGAACAAACGUUUUCGUGUGUGCGAAAGGUUUGAUUCAUACAACUUGAAAAACGAAAGAAUUUGUUCUGUAUCUGUCACAAAUUUUCUUCCGUUUUUCAAAAACGAACGAUCGUUUUCGAUUUUUAUAGAAUGUACCCCCAGUACCAGUUUCGCCUACGAAGGAGGAAAAGGCAAACUCGUGGUUUUAACGCCUAGUCACCACUUCAAAACCUUUAUUUUAUAAUAUCACUUAUUUUUCACAAAAAAAAAAUUGAACAACAAAGAUUGAAAAUAUGAAAUAAUUAUAUAAAUAUGUAAAUUAAGAAAAAAUCAAUAUCAUGCCAAAAAAAAUUUACAUACUUUUAGUUCAAAUUUACAUUUUUUUAUGUAUUGGCCAAAAGCGAGGUUUUGUCACUCUUACAGAGCUACUCCAGCGCUACUUGGCUCCGAACACGUAGAUAUCUGGAGUCGUGGGCUGUUAUGUGGAUUAAUCACCAGCUUUGUCGUAAUUCAGCACCACUAUCUUUAUAUUGAACUUCAAUUUCCACUCUAGGGUAUUUGGAGGUCGUAAGGGUGGUGUGCCUUAUUGGAGGUUGAAACAGAACUUCAAAUGGUUCUUAUGUCAUAGGAUACCUAACCCAUGACCUGUAAUACCUUAUGGACCACGAAACGAAACAAGCCGGUUGAAGGUUAACCACAGAAUCAUUAAUUUAAAGAGAAUUAAGUAAUGCAAGAUAUAAAGUAUAGAACAGUGUUUAUAGAUGUAAAUAGAUUAAUAAUAGGUGUGUUUUUUAUUACAACCGGUCUUAACUGGACAAAAAAACGCAGUCUGGGCUAAGCAAUUUACAUGUUAAAUACAACAACACCUUAGCCCCUUGGGCUAAGUUGUUUAGCCCGGAGAUUUCUCUGGGCUUAACUUUUUGAACAGUUUUAAAUCUGUGCUACCAGACUAAUUUUUUCAUAAAUUGUUUAGAAUUUGUUUAAAAACGUGAAAACUCACGUUUGGAAGGACAAAAUGUAUUAAAAUAGUUUUGCUAGCAUACAUUUUUGUAUCUCUUUGUAAAAUAUACAUGAAAAAUACAAGAAAAUGACGAAAGCGAAUAAUAUGACAACUUUAAAUUUUUGUUGUGUCGGCUGUUUUCGGAACAUUAAAUAUACAGUGCUGCCAAGAUUUCAGGUUAAGCCCCGAGGCGUUUUUUUUGUCCAGUUAAGACCGGUGGUAAUAAAAAACACACCUAAUAAUAAUAAAAUAAUAAUAAUAAU